GAUGAACGCUGGCGGCGUGCCUAAUACAUGCAAGUCGAGCGAACAGACGAGGAGCUUGCUCCUCUGACGUUAGCGGCGGACGGGUGAGUAACACGUGGAUAACCUACCUAUAAGACUGGGAUAACUUCGGGAAACCGGAGCUAAUACCGGAUAAUAUAUUGAACCGCAUGGUUCAAUAGUGAAAGACGGUUUUGCUGUCACGUAUAGAUGGAUCCGCGCCGCAUUAGCUAGUUGGUAAGGUAACGGCUUACCAAGGCAACGAUGCGUAGCCGACCUGAGAGGGUGAUAGGCCACACUGGAACUGAGACCCGGUCCAGGCUCCUACGGGAGGCAGCAGUAGGGAAUCUUCCGCAAUGGGCGAAAGCCUGACGGAGCAACGCCGCGUGAGUGAUGAAGGUCUUCGGAUCGUAAAACUCUGUUAUUAGGGAAGAACAAAUGUGUAAGUAACUAUGCACGUCUUGACGGUACCUAAUCAGAAAGCCACGGCUAACUACGUG
This 497-nucleotide ribosomal RNA is filed under the name uncultured bacterium. Its description in RNAcentral is "partial 16S ribosomal RNA". It matches the Rfam family "Bacterial small subunit ribosomal RNA", at positions 28 to 507 of the family's 1533-position model. The record is from RNAcentral.